AGUGAAUAGAUCCCAGGUAGUCCUAGCUGUAAACGUUGGGUACUAGGUAUUGGGAGUGAGAACACUUUCAGUGCCGAAAGCGAAACGCGUUAAGUACCCGCCUGGGACUACGGCCGCAAGGUUAAAACCCAAAGGAAUUGACGGGGCCCGGCACAAGCAGCGGAGCGUGUGGUUUAAUUCGAUGCGACACGAAGAACCUCACCUGGGUUUGACAUACAAGUAGUAGGGGAGCGAAAGCCGACCGAGCCGCAAGGCAGCUUGAACAGGUGCUGCAUGGCUGUCGUCAGCUCGUGCCGUGAGGUGUUGGGUUAAGUCCCACAACGAGCGCAACCCUUAUUGCCAGUUACAAGUAUCUGGCGAGACUGCCGGCGUAUAACCGGAGGAAGGUGGGGAUGACGUCAAGUCAGCAUGGCCUUUAUAUCCAGGGCUACACACACGCUACAAUGG
This 447-nucleotide ribosomal RNA is filed under the name uncultured bacterium. RNAcentral describes it as "bacterial SSU rRNA". It matches the Rfam family "Bacterial small subunit ribosomal RNA", at positions 772 to 1233 of the family's 1533-position model. The record is from RNAcentral.